This 17-nucleotide microRNA is filed under the name Homo sapiens (human). RNAcentral describes it as "hsa-miR-4516". The record is from miRBase by way of RNAcentral. Lineage: Eukaryota; Metazoa; Chordata; Mammalia; Primates; Hominidae.
GGGAGAAGGGUCGGGGC